UACGGAAGGCAGCAGUGGGGAAUAUUGCACAAUGGGCGCAAGCCUGAUGCAGCCAUGCCGCGUGUAUGAAAAAGGCCUUCGGGUUGUAAAGUACUUUCAGUCGUGAGGAAGGUGUUAAGGUUAAUAACCUUAGCAAUUGACGUUAGCGACAGAAGAAGCACCGGCUAACUCCGUGCCAGCAGCCGCGGUAAUACGGAGGGUGCGAGCGUUAAUCGGAAUUACUGGGCGUAAAGGGCACGCAGGCGGUUAAUUAAGUUGGAUGUGAAAUCCCCGGGCUUAACCUGGGAAUGGCAUUCAAGACUGGUUAGCUAGAGUCUUGUAGAGGGGGUAGAAUUCCAUGUGUAGCGGUGAAAUGCGUAGAGAUGUGGAGGAUACCGGUGGCGAAGGCGGCCCCUGGCAAAGACUGACGCUCAUGUGCGAAAGCGUGGGGAGCAAAC
Molecule: ribosomal RNA, 437 nt
Filed under: uncultured bacterium
Lineage: Bacteria
Description: bacterial SSU rRNA
Rfam family: Bacterial small subunit ribosomal RNA
Source: RNAcentral